GGCCAUGUAGCUCAGUUGGAAGAGCAGUGGACUAGUAUUCCAAAGGUCGUAGGUUUGAUUCCCACCGUGGCCA
RNAcentral lists this transfer RNA (73 nucleotides) under Paramuricea clavata. It matches the Rfam family "tRNA". Rfam says of the family: Transfer RNA (tRNA) molecules are approximately 80 nucleotides in length. Their secondary structure includes four short double-helical elements and three loops (D, anti-codon, and T loops). The record is from Rfam by way of RNAcentral. Lineage: Eukaryota; Metazoa; Cnidaria; Anthozoa; Malacalcyonacea; Plexauridae.